RNAcentral lists this long non-coding RNA (1024 nucleotides) under Panax ginseng (ginseng). RNAcentral's name for it is "long non-coding RNA (PGIN_LNC015381)". The record is from RNAcentral. Lineage: Eukaryota; Viridiplantae; Streptophyta; Magnoliopsida; Apiales; Araliaceae.
AAAAAAACAGUCUUCGUCGUCCGCGAAGUACUAGACGGGAUUUUAAUGGACAAUUAUGUCCCCAUCAACGAAUCAUAACAGAAAAAAAACCGGAUAGAUUAAUGGAAUUUCUCCCGCUGUCAUCUCACGGAAUUGAGAAUUGGGGCUGGGUUGGGAAUUGCCGUCAAAGUGAAAAAGGAUUUGAGAAUUGGGCUGCUGCGAUUUAAGGAAUUGGAAAUAUGUUUAUAAUUGAUCUGAUAUCUAUAUAUGAAAUCACCAAAAGAGAAACGAGUUACAACCUUAAAUUCUAUUAGAUUCGGAUUGUUCUUAAUUAGCCCUAAUUGUUCUUUGCGUGCCUCUGCCACGAAAUCGUUUUCUCGUUCGCUCGCUGCGCACCUCUGUCCAAAUCGUUCGCUCGAUGCGCGCCUCUGUCCAAAUCGUUCUCUGCGUUUCUGAGCAAAUCUUUAUGAGAUCCAUUCUUCUGUAAAUCAAAUCGCUGUUGGGUGACAACCAAAUCGCUCUAACCUCCUGUCAUAAUAUCCCAGGUUCAUGCCAAAUCCAUUAUGUGAAAUAGCUACUUCAUUUAAACUGAUUAAUACCUAUACUAUCCCAGGUUUUAACUGUUCUGUUAUUUUGACACUCCAUGAUGAUGUUGUGAUGUUUUGAGACAAAUUGAUGCUAUGUGCAGUAUUCUAGCAGAUAGAUUAAUGAUUUUUCUUGCUAGUUGAUGGGGGCUGAAAAUUUUAAUUCAUCGGUCAGUACUUCUAGGGAUGGAAAAAACUGUUUUUUAAUUAUAACUCUUUAUAAUUGUAAUAAAAGGUAGACAUAAUAUUUAUUUAUUUUUAAUUUAUAACAAAUAAAUAUAUACACACGUACGUUGCUAUUUACUAUGGACAUUUAAUUAUUUACUAUUUACUAUGGACAUUUAAUUAUUUACGGUAUAUAACAAGACUAAUAAUAGAAUGUCAACUCAGUAUUUGAGAAAAUCAAGGAAAUUUGGUAGCAUUUAAAAAUUUAAAAGAGUAAAAUGUCUGUAGUAAAAUAA